RNAcentral lists this ribosomal RNA (880 nucleotides) under uncultured bacterium. Its description in RNAcentral is "bacterial SSU rRNA". It matches the Rfam family "Bacterial small subunit ribosomal RNA", at positions 44 to 916 of the family's 1533-position model. The record is from RNAcentral.
AUGCUUUACACAUGCAAGUCGAACGGCAGCCCGGGAGCUUGCUCCUGGUGGCGAGUGGCGAACGGGUGAGUAAUGCGUCGGAACGUACCGAGUAAUGGGGGAUAACGCAGCGAAAGUCGUGCUAAUACCGCAUACGCCCUGAGGGGGAAAGUGGGGGAUCGUAAGACCUCACGUUAUUCGAGCGGCCGACGUCUGAUUAGCUAGUUGGUGGGGUAAAGGCCUACCAAGGCGACGAUCAGUAGCGGGUCUGAGAGGAUGAUCCGCCACACUGGGACUGAGACACGGCCCAGACUCCUACGGGAGGCAGCAGUGGGGAAUUUUGGACAAUGGGGGCAACCCUGAUCCAGCCAUUCCGCGUGAGUGAAGAAGGCCUUCGGGUUGUAAAGCUCUUUCAGCUGGAACGAAACGGUACGCGCUAACAUCGUGUGCUAAUGACGGUACCAGCAGAAGAAGCACCGGCUAACUACGUGCCAGCAGCCGCGGUAAUACGUAGGGUGCGAGCGUUAAUCGGAAUUACUGGGCGUAAAGCGUGCGCAGGCGGAUUGUUAAGCAAGAUGUGAAAUCCCCGGGCUUAACCUGGGAAUGGCAUUUUGAACUGGCAGUCUAGAGUGCGUCAGAGGGGGGUGGAAUUCCACGUGUAGCAGUGAAAUGCGUAGAGAUGUGGAGGAACACCGAUGGCGAAGGCAGCCCCCUGGGAUGACACUGACGCUCAUGUACGAAAGCGUGGGUAGCAAACAGGAUUAGAUACCCUGGUAGUCCACGCCCUAAACGAUGUCAACUGGUUGUUGGGGGAGUGAAAUCCCUUAGUAACGAAGCUAACGCGUGAAGUUGACCGCCUGGGGAGUACGGUCGCAAGAUUAAAACUCAAAGGAAUUGACGG